This is a long non-coding RNA of Nomascus leucogenys (northern white-cheeked gibbon), 681 nucleotides long. RefSeq lists it as uncharacterized. The transcript is spliced from 2 exons. NCBI's taxonomy places the organism in Eukaryota, Metazoa, Chordata, Mammalia, Primates, Hylobatidae. The record is from RefSeq and is a predicted model, not a curated record.
CCCCAUCUCUCUAGUUUCUCUCAAGAAGCCAGCGCCACUCCCUGUAUGCACCUCUAGUGUAGGGUUAUCUGGAGCUUUAGGUUCAAAGGAAAGAGUGAGGUCUGCUGCUCCCUUCCUCCCUCCUACCCUGUUCCUCACCAACUCCUGGACGGUCCCCGCCAUGGGGUUGAGAACUGGGGCUAUGCUGGGAUGUGUCCGUGACACUGAUCGUGGUGGCCAGAGAGACACCGAGGGAGACUGCUCUGCCACCAGAGAGCUGACAUGAGGAAGGAGCCCCAGACUAAAAACAGUGAGUCUCAGGAGACUUGGGAGGUGGCCGCAGGGAUAACCCAACCCUCCAAUUAACGUGCCUGAGCCAGUCUCCUCCUACGUCUGGAACUUUAGGAGAGCUGCCCACAGCAGAAUGACUCGGCAAGGAGAAGGGCUUGUCGGGUCUAGCUGGGAGCGGAGGUGGGCCAGGCUGCCAGAGGGAGGCUCUGGGUGGUGCCCUUAAGAGUCUCCGUCAUGAGCUGUUUUGCACUGUGAGCAUACCUCCAGAGAAGUGCCGAAAGCUUGCAUUCUUGCAGGUAAUACACCCAGCACCCAGAUCAAGAAACGGAACAUAAUCGGCACCCCAGAACCCCACCCUAAAUAUGUAAUUUUAAAAAAGAUUUUAAUAAAUAUCUUUUAGCACGCCCUUUA